GUGCUUGCUGCGGCAGCACAUAUACUAAAAUUGGAAUGAUACAGAGAAGCUUAGCAUGGUCCCUGCGCAAGGGUGACAUGCAUUCCAUAUUUUUUUAAAAAGUUAUU
Ochotona princeps (American pika) is the source of this 107-nucleotide small nuclear RNA. NCBI's taxonomy places the organism in Eukaryota, Metazoa, Chordata, Mammalia, Lagomorpha, Ochotonidae. The record is from Ensembl.